UUUCUCCACCACAUGCGUUUUCCGUGGGCUUUCCUGCAAACGUCCACUAUUUGACAUUUGAGAAAGUGGGAAAAUGUUUUGUUAGUCUUUUAUUCACCAUUGGAAGAAGGCUUGAUCCAGCCAGAUUCACACACCUGAGAUGAACCCCAGGCCCCAGCAGCUAUGAAAUCGUUCAGGAAUGUAGACUUAUAAGUAAGCAAUUAAAAGAGGCUCUGGAGUCCUGUAAGGCAUGUGGCAUUCAUACCAGGCAACAGACUGCACUUUGUCAGCAUCAAGGUGGGCUGCCAGUGAGGAGACCUCAGACCUCGAGCAGACUUCUGGGCAGAAGACCCCAGAAGAAGAACACAAGGAGCUCUUGAUCUGAAGGAACUGGUGGAGGAAUUCAGAGUGACAAGAAGAGCUGCUUCUGCGCAGGAGGGCUGGUCUGAGCGCAGUGAUUAAGCCCCCGUGGAAUUCGCCUGUAAGCAUAGUGGGGGGUAACUGGUAUUCACUUAGUGUGGGGUUUUUAAUAAAUCAAUGAAUGAAUGAGCAAUUUCAUUUAUGUUAAAUCUCUGCCAGAACCUAGCACUCUAUACCUGAGCCAGAUCUGCAGAGGAGGUUCUGGAUCUGACAGUCAGCAACCUCACAAUGUUCAAGGUCUUCAAAUACCUCCUUAAGUUUGACCAACAAUUCUAGGAAGUGACCAGCAAAGGUCCCCCCAACCCAACAUAUUAACCACAUCAAGGACAGGUUUGUGAAGCAGUUAAUUACAACCCCCAACCUCAGGCAGUCAGUGGAGAAGCCUGCGGCUGAAGCCCCAGCUUCAGCUGUACGUGAGCUAGGAUACUGGGCAGGGUCUCGUGUGUCUUGCUCUUGAAAAUGUACCUGAGAGACAGCUUGGCUAGGAAUGCUUCCAUUUGGGGGGCCUGGUUCCAGGCUGAACAGAAGCUUUUCCUUCAUCAGGUGAAGGCCCAUGUCUUGAGGGUGGGAGCCUUCUCUUCGGGCUGACGGGCCAGCAUUCCCAGUGCACUGUCCUUACUGCAAAAUCGGGCUGCUUG
Molecule: long non-coding RNA, 1037 nt
Organism: Diceros bicornis minor
Lineage: Eukaryota; Metazoa; Chordata; Mammalia; Perissodactyla; Rhinocerotidae
Exons: 3
Source: RefSeq, a predicted model, not a curated record